CAGGAGGUCUGGGAGAAAGAGAAGUCCUGUUCACAUCAUGCUUAGUUGUACGUUUCAACAGAACCUCCAGGUUAAUCAGCUGACCCACAUGUACAAUGCCGCCCAAACCUCUUCUUCAGCGCUACAUCCCCAUUGGAGCUCAGAGUUGGAAUGAGCCUUCCAGUAGCUGCCCUGACAGAGGGACCUGGACUCAAUCUCUGAGAGCUGGGCUUCACCUCUGCUGCCUAAGGACCUUCAUCCUGGACGCCCCAGGGAAGUUUCAGGGCCUUCCCCUUUGAAUUCAGAUGGGCUGCUAACCUUGGAGGAACUAGAUCUACUCCUGCCUACCAUGGCCAUACUCCAAACCCUAAAAAACUCCCUGGAAAUUUUCACCAAGAGAAUUAGACUGCCCAGACUGCCCAGGUACUGGAUUGGAGGAAGGAGCCAAGAAAUUUGUAUGGACUCAUCCUAAAUUUGCCUGAAGUAACCAAUAUGAACAACUCACAUUGGCCUAGGCAAAAGAGGGUAUCUAAAGUUCCUGAGGAGACCCCUUUAGUGGAGAUUCAGCCUGUCAGGCCCCAUCGAAGGAGAAGGAAAGCUUGAAAGGCAUUGAGGCAUUCUGGCUCUGGGAUUGUGAAUGAUCUGGACAGUUCCCCACAGGCUAAGGAUGUUUUAGCCCUGGAGAUUUUGUGCUGAAAAGGCUUCACCUUUAGAAUCAAGUACUUCUUAAUUCAGCAGUUCAAAACCUGGCACUAUUUCCUGCUCUAAAUAGUAAAAUAAAGAUUUUUGUCCACGUAUGCCCUUUUCUUUU
RNAcentral lists this long non-coding RNA (790 nucleotides) under Phascolarctos cinereus (koala). Its description in RNAcentral is "lncRNA (ENSPCIG00000025602.2)". Lineage: Eukaryota; Metazoa; Chordata; Mammalia; Diprotodontia; Phascolarctidae. The record is from RNAcentral.